RNAcentral lists this ribosomal RNA (253 nucleotides) under uncultured bacterium. RNAcentral describes it as "partial 16S ribosomal RNA". It matches the Rfam family "Bacterial small subunit ribosomal RNA", at positions 524 to 776 of the family's 1533-position model. The record is from RNAcentral.
UACGGAGGGUGCAAGCGUUGUCCGGAUUUAUUGGGUUUAAAGGGUGCGUAGGCGGCUUCAUAAGUCCGUGGUGAAAGCCAACAGCUCAACUGUUGAACUGCCAUGGAUACUGUGAGGCUUGAGUACAGGCGAGGUAGGCGGAAUGGAUCGUGUAGCGGUGAAAUGCGUAGAGAUCGGGAGGAACACCAGAGGCGAAGGCGGCAACCUGGACAAGCACUGACACUCAACUACGAAAGCGUGGGGAGCAAACAGG